Molecule: transfer RNA, 67 nt
Filed under: Dihammatus sp. UPOL 001009
Lineage: Eukaryota; Metazoa; Arthropoda; Insecta; Coleoptera; Lycidae
Description: tRNA-Phe
Source: RNAcentral
AUAUUUUAAAGUAAAAUUAACUUCCUUAAUAUUUUCAAUAUUAUACUCUUAAUAAGCUAUUAAAAUA